AUCUGUGACCAUACCACCCUGAAUCCACCUGAUUUUGUCUGCACUCAAAAGCUAAGGUGGGUUGGACCUGAUUAGUACUUGACAGGAAAAAUCAUUAAAUCAAAAAGACAUUUGAGGGCUAGAUGUGGUGGUUC
RNAcentral lists this ribosomal RNA (134 nucleotides) under Carlito syrichta (Philippine tarsier). Lineage: Eukaryota; Metazoa; Chordata; Mammalia; Primates; Tarsiidae. The record is from RNAcentral.